This 572-nucleotide ribosomal RNA is filed under the name Colletotrichum sp. BDS-2011. RNAcentral describes it as "eukaryotic LSU rRNA". The stretch from base 211 to 364 matches the Rfam family "5.8S ribosomal RNA". Lineage: Eukaryota; Fungi; Ascomycota; Sordariomycetes; Glomerellales; Glomerellaceae. The record is from RNAcentral.
ACAAGGUCUCCGUUGGUGAACCAGCGGAGGGAUCAUUACUGAGUUUACGCUCUAUAACCCUUUGUGAACAUACCUAUAACUGUUGCUUCGGCGGGUAGGGUCUCCGUGACCCUCCCGGCCUCCCGCCCCCGGGCGGGUCGGCGCCCGCCGGAGGAUAACCAAACUCUGAUUUAACGACGUUUCUUCUGAGUGGUACAAGCAAAUAAUCAAAACUUUUAACAACGGAUCUCUUGGUUCUGGCAUCGAUGAAGAACGCAGCGAAAUGCGAUAAGUAAUGUGAAUUGCAGAAUUCAGUGAAUCAUCGAAUCUUUGAACGCACAUUGCGCCCGCCAGCAUUCUGGCGGGCAUGCCUGUUCGAGCGUCAUUUCAACCCUCAAGCUCUGCUUGGUGUUGGGGCCCUACAGCUGAUGUAGGCCCUCAAAGGUAGUGGCGGACCCUCCCGGAGCCUCCUUUGCGUAGUAACUUUACGUCUCGCACUGGGAUCCGGAGGGACUCUUGCCGUAAAACCCCCAAUUUUCCAAAGGUUGACCUCGGAUCAGGUAGGAAUACCCGCUGAACUUAAGCAUAUCAAU